This 253-nucleotide ribosomal RNA is filed under the name uncultured bacterium. Its description in RNAcentral is "partial 16S ribosomal RNA". It matches the Rfam family "Bacterial small subunit ribosomal RNA", at positions 524 to 776 of the family's 1533-position model. The record is from RNAcentral.
UACGUAGGGUGCAAGCGUUGUCCGGAAUUAUUGGGCGUAAAGAGCUCGUAGGCGGUUUGUUGCGUCGGCUGUGAAAUCCCGAGGCUCAACCUCGGGUCUGCAGUCGAUACGAGCAAACUAGAGUGUUGCAGGGGAGACUGGAAUUCCUGGUGUAGCGGUGAAAUGCGCAGAUAUCAGGAAGAACACCCAUGGCGAAAGCAGCUCUCUGGGACGGUACUGACGCUGAGACGCGAAAGCGUGGGGAGCGAACAGG